Small nuclear RNA from Thamnophis elegans (Western terrestrial garter snake), 105 nucleotides. The record is from RefSeq and is a predicted model, not a curated record. NCBI's taxonomy places the organism in Eukaryota, Metazoa, Chordata, Lepidosauria, Squamata, Natricidae.
GUGCUCGCUUCGGCAGCACAUAUACUAAAAUUGGAACGAUACAGAGAAGAUUAGCAUGGCCCCUGUGUGGUGCAAUACUGGAAGAAGGAAGAUUUGCCUACUAUU